GCGGUAAUACGUAGGGCGCAAGCGUUAUCCGGAAUUAUUGGGCGUAAAGAGCUCGUAGGCGGUUUGUCGCGUCUGCCGUGAAAGUCCGGGGCUUAACUCCGGAUCUGCGGUGGGUACGGGCAGACUUGAGUGAUGUAGGGGAGACUGGAAUUCCUGGUGUAGCGGUGAAAUGCGCAGAUAUCAGGAGGAACACCGAUGGCGAAGGCAGGUCUCUGGGCAUUAACUGACGCUGAGGAGCGAAAGCAUGGGGAGCGAACAGGAUUAGAUACCCUGGUAGUCCAUGCCGUAAACGUUGGGCACUAGGUGUGGGGGACAUUCCACGUUUUCCGCGCCGUAGCUAACGCAUUAAGUGCCCCGCCUGGGGAGUACGGCCGCAAGGCUAAAACUCAAAGGAAUUGACGGGGGCCCGCACAAGCGGCGGAGCAUGCGGAUUAAUUCGAUGCAACGCGAAGAACCUUACCAAGGCUUGACAUGAACCGGAACGGCGCAGAGAUGUGUCGGCCACUUGUGGCCGGUUUACAGGUGGUGCAUGGUUGUCGUCAGCUCGUGUCGUGAGAUGUUGGGUUAAGUCCCGCAACGAGCGCAACCCUCGUUCCAUGUUGCCAGCGGGUUAUGCCGGGGACUCAUGGGAGACUGCCGGGGUCAACUCGGAGGAAGGUGGGGACGACGUCAAAUCAUCAUGCCCCUUAUGUCUUGGGCUUCACGCAUGCUACAAUGGCCGGUACAAAGGGUUGCGAUGCUGUGAGGUGGAGCUAAUCCCAAAAAGCCGGUCUCAGUUCGGAUUGAGGUCUGCAACUCGACCUCAUGAAGUCGGAGUCGCUAGUAAUCGCAGAUCAGCAACGCUGCGGUGAAUACGUUCCCGGGCCUUGUACACACCGCCCGUCAAGUCACGAAAGUUGGUAACACCCGA
This 910-nucleotide ribosomal RNA is filed under the name Arthrobacter tumbae. RNAcentral's name for it is "bacterial SSU rRNA". It matches the Rfam family "Bacterial small subunit ribosomal RNA", at positions 517 to 1424 of the family's 1533-position model. Lineage: Bacteria; Bacillati; Actinomycetota; Actinomycetes; Micrococcales; Micrococcaceae. The record is from RNAcentral.